CACAUCAGUGUAAGGUAGAAUGGCCUUG
RNAcentral lists this non-coding RNA (28 nucleotides) under Mus musculus (house mouse). The record is from RNAcentral. Lineage: Eukaryota; Metazoa; Chordata; Mammalia; Rodentia; Muridae.